This 561-nucleotide ribosomal RNA is filed under the name Triticum aestivum (bread wheat). RNAcentral's name for it is "partial small subunit ribosomal RNA". The record is from RNAcentral. Lineage: Eukaryota; Viridiplantae; Streptophyta; Magnoliopsida; Poales; Poaceae.
AUGCCCUCAGUGGGGGAAGAUCAACGGUUCCGACGAGAUGGCAUUGCCUUCUCCACCAAGCAUGCAUACGGCGCCCUCAUGGCUCGGCCAGAUAACGAUCUCAUUGCUCCUCUCAUAUGGAGUGCCAAGGUUUCUCGGAAACUCAAAGUCUUCGCCUGGCUACUCUUCAAAGACCGCCUCAACACCAGGGUCAACCUUGCACAUAAGCAUAUAAUCGAUUCAGAUAUAUGCCCCCGAUGUGCUAGGCUACCCGAAGACUCCAGCCACCUCUUCAUCACGUGCCCUUUUGCUAAUAGGAUUUGGCAACGACUUGAGCUCCUGCCACAAACCAACGACAUCACAGACCUAUGGGAUGUCACUACUCCUCCUCACCUCUCUACCACGGCAUGGCCUUCGGCCCUCUUGGCUUUAUUGUGGAUGAUAUGGGCAGCACGUAAUGACAUGGUAUUUAGGACGGUCGAUCAAAGCUCUGUAAUAACCCUUAGGAACCUUAUUUCUGCUUUGGACCUCUGGUCUCAUCGUCUUGUGCAAACACAAGACAAGGAGGACAUUUUCUCGUGA